AGCUAGUGGUCUGCAUUUUCUGGGCUGCCGAAGGGAGGAGGAUUAUUUCUGCUGCUAACCGUGUGUGUGAGCUCCAUUUGAGGUAACUUCUGAACUGAAAUUAGUUGGUUAUAGGCAAGUGAGGUCAGCUAUGGACUUGCAUGUGGUGCUUGUGAGGUUAGAUGAGGAAUUGUGACUUAAGAAAUCUGAUUUGGAAAAGAAUUAAAGCUGU
Molecule: long non-coding RNA, 211 nt
Filed under: Coffea arabica (coffee)
Lineage: Eukaryota; Viridiplantae; Streptophyta; Magnoliopsida; Gentianales; Rubiaceae
Description: long non-coding RNA (CARA_LNC005933)
Source: RNAcentral